GGGCUUUUUGGUGAUUCAUGAUAACUUUACGGAUCGCAUAGCCUUGCGCUGGCGACGGUUCAUUCAAAUUUCUGCCCUAUCAACUUUCGAUGGUAAGGUAUUGGCUUACCAUGGUUUCAACGGGUAACGGGGAAUUAGGGUUCGAUUCCGGAGAGGGAGCCUGAGAAACGGCUACCACAUCCAAGGAAGGCAGCAGGCGCGCAAAUUACCCAAUCCCGACACGGGGAGGUAGUGACAAUAAAUACUGAUACAGGGCUCUUUUGGGUCUUGUAAUUGGAAUGAGUACAAUUUAAACCUCUUAACGAGGAACAAUUGGAGGGCAAGUCUGGUGCCAGCAGCCGCGGUAAUUCCAGCUCCAAUAGCGUAUAUUAAAGUUGUUGCAGUUAAAAAGCUCGUAGUUGAAACUUGGGCCUGGCUGGCGGGUCCGCCUCACCGCGUGCACUCGUCCGGCCGGGCCUUCCUUCUGAAGAACCUCAUGCCCUUCACUGGGCGUGCUGGGGAAUCAGGACUUUUACUUUGAAAAAAUUAGAGUGUUCAAAGCAGGCCUUUGCUCGAAUACGUUAGCAUGGAAUAAUUAAAAUAGGGCGUGCGUUUCUAUUUUGUUGGUUUCU
Molecule: ribosomal RNA, 611 nt
Filed under: Alternaria sp.
Lineage: Eukaryota; Fungi; Ascomycota; Dothideomycetes; Pleosporales; Pleosporaceae
Description: SSU rRNA
Rfam family: Eukaryotic small subunit ribosomal RNA
Source: RNAcentral